CGCUGUCAUUUCUGCAACCCACCCCCACCCCAUUGUCUCUCGAUUUUUGUCUGUCACCUUGAACUGGAAAGCAAUAUAUUAAUCAGUGUGCCAACGUGCAUUCCCUGGCCCGUCCCCUGCCUCCGUUCACUUUAUUUAUAUAGGUCAUGUGUUAUUUUGAUGAUGGAAUGAACAUUCUCGCGCUGUCCUAAGAAGUGUUCCUCCGCCGUCGCCCCACGGUGGCAGCGACUGGGGCUGCCUCUCUUACCCGACUCACACCUUGCAGGCCUCUAAACUGGCAAAGAAAACACGUGGUGAUGUUGUCCAGGAGUAGGGACAACUUUCCCCUCUGCAAAGAGAGUGAUGGCCCCAAGUCCUUUGUGACUGCCCACCAGGCAUGGCGGCCAGACUCUAAAGGAAGUACUUCUUACCUUGGAACCUGGAUCCUGGGCACAGUGGGCUUGGCUUUCCUGGUAGUAGCCUAGCCUCCACAGUGGGUGGAUGGUCUCUUAGCCGUGAUCCUGCUUUUGAGUUCAGCUGCCUGUAUUACUCUGUGCCGGAAGGACCACGGACACUUUCAUUAAAGUCUCCUGAGACUA
This 578-nucleotide long non-coding RNA is filed under the name Rattus norvegicus (Norway rat). RNAcentral describes it as "long non-coding RNA NONRATT017693". Lineage: Eukaryota; Metazoa; Chordata; Mammalia; Rodentia; Muridae. The record is from RNAcentral.